Long non-coding RNA from Serinus canaria (Common canary), 940 nucleotides. RefSeq lists it as uncharacterized. The transcript is spliced from 3 exons. NCBI's taxonomy places the organism in Eukaryota, Metazoa, Chordata, Aves, Passeriformes, Fringillidae. The record is from RefSeq and is a predicted model, not a curated record.
UCCUGCAGCCAGUCAGCCUUCCAGGAGUGGUUGUCUUCCCACUUCUCUCCGUCCCUUCCCGCCUUCUCUCCUUCGUCUUCCUUCGAAUAAACCUCGUUUUUGGAAAAGUGGCUGUGCUUGUGGAGCCCUCCUUCACACGGGUGUGCUGUGCUAGCCGGGACCGGGAUCGCCUGCAGAGCAGUUCGGGGGAACCUCUCUCCCGGGGAGUUGGAUCCACACGACUGCCCAGGACAAGAACCCGUGCGGGACCCCCACACCACCGGGGACCCCAGAAUCCCGCAGAUAUCGUGGAGAACAACUGAAACUCUGAAACAUUUUUUUCAUUGAAUGAAAAUAUUGCUUGGUUACCAAAUAUGUGUGACAUUCAGUAGUAUUAAAAGAUUUCCUGAGUACCAUGAGUGAAGUCUGAACCUCAGAGCACCAUCAGAAGGAAAUAAAGAGAGGGAGAGAGGACCCCACACUGAAGCAGGUUGGUUGGCAGGAUUUAUGACCCCAAAGGUCAAACCAACACUAAAGCUGUCUGUUCCCAAAGAACUGCACCCUGUGCAAGGGAUGGGACCAAUGCUGGAGCAGUUCAUGAAGAAAUGGAGCAGUUCAUGAAGAAAUGUGUCUCAUGGGAGGGAUCCCAUAUUGAAUCAGGGAAAUGGAACAAGGAGUUCUCCCUCCAAGGAAGAAGGAACAGCAGAGACAAUGUGUGGUGUUAUGGACUGAAUCCAAAACCCCAUCCCUGUUUCCCCUGCACUGCUGAAGGGUAGGAGGUAGAGAAAAUUGGGAGUAAAGUUGAGCCUGGGAAUAAUGAAAGGGGAACGUGUAUUAAGAUUUAUUUUUUAUUCUCAUUGUCCAUGAUUUAUCUGAUUUUAUUGGUAAUAAAUUUAAUUAUUUUCCUCAGGUUGGGUUGGUUUUGCCUGUGAUGAUAAUUGCUGAAUGAUGUUUUCCUGCC